This is a long non-coding RNA of Psammomys obesus (fat sand rat), 874 nucleotides long. RefSeq lists it as uncharacterized. NCBI's taxonomy places the organism in Eukaryota, Metazoa, Chordata, Mammalia, Rodentia, Muridae. The transcript has 6 exons. The record is from RefSeq and is a predicted model, not a curated record.
UUCUCCCUCCUUCCCUCCCUCCCUCCCACCCUCCUCUGGGAUCCUUGCAAGUAGCUUGCGUGCCCUCGCGAGUUUGGAAGGUGCCGGCCACCGAAGCCACGCGAGUAUUUGAAAGGCAAUCAGCCCGACCGUCCCCCUAGAGUCAUCGUUUGCGAGGUUGCUGUGACCGCUGGCGACAAGUGCUUCCUCAGCCGCAACCCAGCUGAAAGAGUUAAGGGGCCGGGAGGAGGAGUGCGGCCGCAAGAGUUUGUAGGUGGCAAGGGUUGCUGCAGAAGACAAGGAACUAUUAUUUUUCAGAGGUGUAAUUCACUACCAGAAAAGGUGUGGACCAUGAAAUUACCCCCCAACUUAAGGAUUUAUGGGUAGUCUCGGCUGUUCCUGCUGCCAUGUCUGGCCUGCGUGAGAGUGAUGGAUUGAUCCCUCCUGAACUGCAAACCCUAAAGCAGCCACCCUCACCUCUGAAGAAGGAACUUGGUGACUAUUGUCCUGGCUCCGGAUGCUCCUGCCCAUUGACAGUUGCCUGUUUUGCUCGUAUUUCUUGAGUCAGCAUGAGCACUGCUAAGUAUGAAGUGACAGUAGACACUCUGUGCUACAAUGCACCUGGAAGGAAGAAGAGAGAUGUGGAACAACUGCCUUGGAAGGGUGCUUCUCCUGCCAACUGGCACUUAUCAAAGGACAUCGAGGGAGGGGGACAGAGUGCCUAGAAAGUAGCGUCAUCAUGUUGAGAAGACCCUACUCAAGCAGGAAAUGCUCAGAUGAAGAAAUGAUGCUUUGAACAGGGCUUUCCAGGGCUGGUGCUGUCCAGGGGUUGACAGACAGAGGCCCUGGGAUGUGUCUUCUCUGUCGCUUAUUCCUAUAAAUAAAGUUCUAUUGG